Long non-coding RNA from Phymastichus coffea, 865 nucleotides. RefSeq lists it as uncharacterized. The transcript is spliced from 3 exons. The record is from RefSeq and is a predicted model, not a curated record. NCBI's taxonomy places the organism in Eukaryota, Metazoa, Arthropoda, Insecta, Hymenoptera, Eulophidae.
GAGUUAAAAAAAAUUAUGAGACCUGUAGAAAGAUAGUUGCAGAUGAGGUUGACUUAACUUUAUAGCAUGAAAAAAGGAGAAUAUGCAUUCGAAGUAUGAUUUUAAUGAUGUGUAUAAAAAGGAUAAUAUUGUGAUAAAAGAAAGACACAAUUUAAAUUUACAUGUGAAAUUCAAACAUGUAAAUAAAAUUGAAAAGACCAAUUUAUUAUAAAAAUAUAAAAAGAAUUGAGUUUAACUAUUGGCUGUGUCGGAACUCUGAUCGUUGGAAAAUCUUCAUUAAUUAAUACUUUGAUGGGUAAAACAAUUGUUAGUAUUUCCAGAACUCUGAACACACAAAACACUUCCAAACAAUCUUUUCAACUAGGAAUAUAUGGUUGUGCGACUAUCCUGGAUUUAUGUUCUCUUUAACUGUACCCAAACAAUUCCAAAUUCUUAUGAAAUUCUAUCCAAUAUCCCUAUUUAGGGAAACUUACAUAAAAAUCGAAUUUUAUGCACAACGGGUGAACUUGCAAAAUUUGUGAAAAUUUUAACACCAUAAUAUCAAUGAUUAUUGGUCAGUAAAGGAUAUAUGCAACAGUUGGGCUGCCAAGAAAAAUGUUCACAUGGCAAAAAUAGUCAGAUUGAAUACCAACAGAGUUACGAACCGCUUAUUCAGAAUGAUAUUAGUUCGGAAAAUUUGUAUUUUCGCAUAUCCUCCGAAAUGAUCUAUCAUCGAAAAAGACCGAUGGAAAAGUCAUUUCAACAGAAACUGUCAAGUGGAUCCAUACAAAAAAUCACGAAAAACUUCGGUGUUAUCGAGCUAUUGUCGGAGAUGGAAGAUUCGUUUAACGACAAGCCUCUGUCCACAAUAAAAAAUAAGCUUGAA